RNAcentral lists this ribosomal RNA (460 nucleotides) under uncultured bacterium. RNAcentral describes it as "partial 16S ribosomal RNA". It matches the Rfam family "Bacterial small subunit ribosomal RNA", at positions 338 to 795 of the family's 1533-position model. The record is from RNAcentral.
CCUACGGGGGGCAGCAGUGAGGAAUAUUGGUCAAUGGCCGGAAGGCUGAACCAGCCAUGCCGCGUGAAGGUCAGUGCCCUAUGGGCGUUAAACUUCUUUUGUGCGGGAGCAAUAAUGGUCACGUGUGGCCAGACGAGAGUACCGUACGAAUAAGCAUCGGCUAACUCCGUGCCAGCAGCCGCGGUAAUACGGGGGAUGCAAGCGUUAUCCGGAUUUAUUGGGGUUAAAGGGUGCGUGGGCUGUGAGGUAAGUCAGCGGUGAAAUGCCCCCGCUCAACGGGGUGAAGUGCCAUUGAUACUGCCUUGCUGGAAUGCGGAUGCCGUGGGAGGAAUGUGUGGUGUAGCGGUGAAAUGCAUAGAUAUCACACAGAACACCGAUUGCGAAGGCAUCUCACGAAUCCGCGAUUGACGCUGAUGCACGAAAGCGUGGGUAUCAAACAGGAUUAGAUACCCCUGUAGUC